Molecule: transfer RNA, 72 nt
Organism: Schizosaccharomyces cryophilus OY26
Lineage: Eukaryota; Fungi; Ascomycota; Schizosaccharomycetes; Schizosaccharomycetales; Schizosaccharomycetaceae
Rfam family: tRNA
About the family: Transfer RNA (tRNA) molecules are approximately 80 nucleotides in length. Their secondary structure includes four short double-helical elements and three loops (D, anti-codon, and T loops). Further hydrogen bonds mediate the characteristic L-shaped molecular structure. tRNAs have two regions of fundamental functional importance: the anti-codon, which is responsible for specific mRNA codon recognition, and the 3' end, to which the tRNAs corresponding amino acid is attached (by aminoacyl-tRNA synthetases). tRNAs cope with the degeneracy of the genetic code in two manners: having more than one tRNA (with a specific anti-codon) for a particular amino acid; and 'wobble' base-pairing, i.e. permitting non-standard base-pairing at the 3rd anti-codon position.
Source: Rfam
AGUUCCGUGUUCUAGUGGUAUGAUUUCUGCUUCACACGCAGAAGGUCCCGGGUUCGAUCCCCGGCGGGACUA